UGCCAGCCGCCGCGGUAAUACGGAGGGGGCAAGCGUUGUUCGGAAUUACUGGGCGUAAAGGGCGUGUAGGCGGCGGUUUUAGUCAGGCGUGAAAGCCCGAGGCUCAACCUCGGAAUAGCGCUUGAUACUGAACUGCUUGAGACCGGAAGAGGGUAGUGGAAUUCCCAGUGUAGAGGUGAAAUUCGUAGAUAUUCGGAGGAACACCAGUGGCGAAGGCGGCUCACUGGCUCGAUACUGACGCUGAGGUGCGAAGGCGUGGGGAGCGAAGCCGAUUAGAUA
RNAcentral lists this ribosomal RNA (279 nucleotides) under uncultured bacterium. RNAcentral's name for it is "partial 16S ribosomal RNA". It matches the Rfam family "Bacterial small subunit ribosomal RNA", at positions 506 to 784 of the family's 1533-position model. The record is from RNAcentral.